This 386-nucleotide ribosomal RNA is filed under the name uncultured bacterium. Its description in RNAcentral is "bacterial SSU rRNA". It matches the Rfam family "Bacterial small subunit ribosomal RNA", at positions 335 to 713 of the family's 1533-position model. The record is from RNAcentral.
ACUCCUACGGGAGGCAGCAGUGGGGAAUAUUGCACAAUGGGCGCAAGCCUGAUGCAGCCAUGCCGCGUGUGUGAAGAAGGCCUUCGGGUUGUAAAGCACUUUCAGUCGUGAGGAAGGUAGUGUAGUUAAUAGCUGCAUUAUUUGUACGUUAGCGACAGAAGAAGCACCGGCUAACUCCGUGCCAGCAGCCGCGGUAAUACGGAGGGUGCGAGCGUUAAUCGGAAUUACUGGGCGUAAAGCGCAUGCAGGUGGUUUGUUAAGUCAGAUGUGAAAGCCCGGGGCUCAACCUCGGAAUAGCAUUUGAAACUGGCAGACUAGAGUACUGUAGAGGGGGUAGGAAUUUCAGGUGUAGCGGUGAAAUGCGUAGAGAUCUGAAGGAUACCGGU